Micropterus salmoides (largemouth bass) is the source of this 2777-nucleotide long non-coding RNA. RefSeq lists it as uncharacterized. The record is from RefSeq and is a predicted model, not a curated record. The transcript has 5 exons. NCBI's taxonomy places the organism in Eukaryota, Metazoa, Chordata, Actinopteri, Centrarchiformes, Centrarchidae.
GAGAGAGGGAGGGAGAGGGAAGGAGAGAGGGAAGGAGAGAGGGAGAGACUGUCAGACAGAGCGCAAACCGCAAAAGGUGAAAUAUUUGAAGGAGAUCUCCUGCGCACUUGGUGCUAAUGCAAAUGUCUCAUCACCAUUAUGCGCUGCAGCUGCUGUGAAUGUUAAAUGAUUCAAACUUGAGGUGAAAAUGGAUUCUCCGAAACGAGCUCAUGUCAUGGAGAGAAAAAUGAGCUCCAUCGCAUCAUAAACGUCUGUCGGUGGCUCAAAGACACUCGUCAUGCAGAGCAGAUGAUGUGAAAAACCCUCCAUGUCUCAAGGCAAUACGGCAACUGCAACAGGAGACAGAUUAAAGCCUGUGUGGCAGUUGAGACACUUUCUGAAGAUGUAGACACCCUUGAGGCUAAUGCUGUUUAAACAAUAACUAUAUUAAUGAAGACUAACAUGCAGCAAUGAAGUGUCUUCUGGAGUUCUUCUAUGUUUGUGAGUAGUAAAAUAAGCAAAACAUCCCCUCUCCAGCUCAGGGCCAGACAGCAGCCUCCCUGCCCAGCUAUGGCUCCCCCUAGCCGUGCCUCCAUAUUUCCUUGUUAAUGCACACCAUAAUGCCCUGACCCUCCCUGAUCUAUCACACUGUAAAGACAUCAAAAUACAUCUGAAAACCUCAAUUUUUCAGUCUAAAUGUGAAAUAUACAGUCUCUACUGCCUCCCAGUAAGUAUUUGGCACCAUUGGCCUCAGCAGAAGAGAGGAUUUCUUACCUUUUGAGAGUGGCUAUGUCUAUGCCUCUCUCUCCAAUGUCCCAACCUCGGCAGCCUUCGUCUUCUUCCCAGCAAUCCCUGCAAAAAAGGACACUUCCAUGUAUGUUGAAUAUGCAGGGGUGAUCAAAUUCGACUAAACCAUUUCUAAAGAGGCCAGAGAACCCCUAAAUCCCAGAAAUUGCCCUAUUGGCCUUAGAUAGACAUAAGCUCCAAUAUUAAAUUUUAAAAUGGCAUUUUAGUGGUCUUAAACAGCAAAGCCCACUCCUCAAAUACACCAAGUCAUACCCCUAUGAUUUCAACUUAUUGUGGUCCAUCCAGUAGUCAUACAGUUGAUACUGAAGAGCAAUUGUCAGUAAGUGCGCAGCUGAACUCUCAGGCGCUUUCUGCAGCCUUUUGUGCGUUUGCCAAGCCCUGGAGCAUCUUUGAGAGGCUACAAAUAGUCCAUUCGUGGUAUUUAUGAGUCAAAGAGACCCCUUUCUUGUGGACUGGACCACAAAAACGGGAAGAAAUAUAUUCGCAUGUGCGUUGAAUCCAACAACGCAAAAAGAGAACCAUGGAUCCAAAUGGACCUCUCCAAAAGUGCACAAGUGUAUCCAAAGGCACAGAGAGAACUCCAAAGGCUCCAAGCGGGAAAAAAGGAGUUUAACCAGCUUAAAAGGUAAUUAUAAUAAUAAUUCUGUUAAAACUUUACGAAGUGUACAAAUAAAAUUCCAACUACACUCAAAUAAUGUAAAUUUAAAGUUCAUUUGAAAACCGUGCAACGAGAAAAUGUACCAGAUGGCGCAAUUGGCACUGCUGACAGUAAAGUUAUUAAUUUAACGUGUUUAAAGAUAUACUUUACUUAAAUAUAUAGUUACUAAUACGGACAGCGCUAUAGCACUGCACACAAAUGAAAAUUACCUACGGUAGCUAUGAGGCAGGCAAAAACUGGAGCUGUAAACGCAGCCAGUCAUUGCGUCAAAGUAGUCCUGCUGCGAGCCACAGUCUGGUCCUUCUUCAGACUUGAAUUAGCAUAAAUUUAGUCCUGUAGCACAAAGAAAUCAUUAUACGAAAAACUCUGCUGACAAAUCCAAUGGAUUCUUAGGUUGGGAAAUGGCUGCGCCGGCGGUUGAAGAUGUUUUCCUCAAAAUAAACCCAUAUGCAAACUAUGUUGGCAGCUGUCGGUAAAGCGUUAAAGGACAAGCCUGUUCCCUUCAAAGCCUGUAAGUUUACGUCGUAGGCCUAUAUUACAACAACUCAGUCACAAAUAGGAUGGGCGUUUGUCUCUCUGCGUGUCCAGACCUGAGCAUCCGCAGGUUAAAGACCCCGCAUCCCCUCUCUGAGACAGCAAGCCUCAGGCAACAGCAACACAAGUGAAGCCGUGUCCUCCCUGCUGUGGAAACUGAAGACAAAAAUAGAAAUAAAAAGACGAGUGUCCGUUAGAAAUGACAAAGCCUUCCUUAUCUGCUGUGAAAGGACUGUUCGCAUCAGCGCUCAGGUAAAAACAGGCGCAUGUGUCGUGUUUAUUCAGCACUAAAGCACCAGCAGCACAGCCGGAGCUCCAGCCGGACGCGCGCCUGUCCUCAUUGUGCGUUUGCCGCAGCAGCUGUCAAACAGAUCAUAUUUCAGACUGAAGUCACAGAGCCAUGAAUACUCACAGGUCCUAUAUGAUACCACACUUGUGCAAGAUCAGCUGUGCAUCGGACUGCGGUCAAAAUGCGUAAUAUUUGUGCUCCAGUGUGGCAAACAGCCGCUGUUGCAAGACGUUCUUGUUUUUUCCAGCUGGGGGGGCAGAAGGAGCGCUCUGUUGACAGGUUAUAAGCCACAAUCCUGAGGCAGGGACUAAACCUAACAAAAGUGCUGUACCGUGGGUACAAGUCAACCGAAAUAUAUAGACUCUGGGAUUACCCAUUUCUCUUAUUGCAAGCAGGCCUACACAAUGCUGUAUUGUAUAACUUCAGCGAAUAUAAGAUUCUUGUUUUGCAUAUACUGUGACAAACAACCUUAUGUGGUAUUAAAAUUAAACAGAAAAAAAUACAUGCAAA